Molecule: long non-coding RNA, 239 nt
Organism: Anopheles arabiensis
Lineage: Eukaryota; Metazoa; Arthropoda; Insecta; Diptera; Culicidae
Exons: 3
Source: RefSeq, a predicted model, not a curated record
CAGGCGCUAUGCUAUUAGCAGUUGUGGAUGCAUUCAGCAAAUGGUUCGAGGUAAAGACUGACGUCCGUCUUCUCCAACUUCCUUUACUUUCCGGUUUCGCCCGGCCUGUCUUGCGCUUGACGCUCUUUCGCCCUUUCAAGCAAAUUGCUUGAUUAAUUAAUUAAAUAUUUUCUUGCAAGGUAACCACAUCAACUACAACAAACUGGAUGGUUUACUGGAUGAACUAUUUGCAGUUUAUA